This is a non-coding RNA of Pelobates cultripes (western spadefoot toad), 245 nucleotides long. The record is from the annotation of a GenBank genome assembly. NCBI's taxonomy places the organism in Eukaryota, Metazoa, Chordata, Amphibia, Anura, Pelobatidae.
GUGUCACUAUACCCCACUCCCUCUAACAUGUAAACUCACUGAGCAGGCCCUCAAUCCCUCUGUUACUGUGUCACUAUACCCCACUCCCUCUAGCAUGUAAACUCACUGAGCAGGCCCUCAAUCCCUCUGUUGCUGUGUCACUAUACCCCGCUCCCUCUAACAUGUAAACUCACUGAGCAGGCCCUCAAUCCCUCUGUUACUGUGUCACUAUACCCCACUCCCUCUAACAUGUAAACUUACUGAGC